UGGGGAAUUUUGGACAAUGGGCGAAAGCCUGAUCCAGCAAUGCCGCGUGUGUGAAGAAGGCCUUCGGGUUGUAAAGCACUUUUGUCCGGAAAGAAAUCCUUGGCUCUAAUACAGUCGGGGGAUGACGGUACCGGAAGAAUAAGCACCGGCUAACUACGUGCCAGCAGCCGCGGUAAUACGUAGGGUGCAAGCGUUAAUCGGAAUUACUGGGCGUAAAGCGUGCGCAGGCGGUUUGCUAAGACCGAUGUGAAAUCCCCGGGCUAACCUGGGAACUGCAUUGGUGACUGGCAGGCUAGAGUAUGGCAGAGGGGGGUAGAAUUCCACGUGUAGCAGUGAAAUGCGUAGAGAUGUGGAGGAAUACCGAUGGCGAAGGCAGCCCCCUGGGCAAUACUGACGCUCAUGCACGAAAGCGUGGGGAGCAAACAGGAUUAGAUACCCUGGUAGUCCACGCCCCUAAAACGAUGUCAACUAGUUGUUGGGGAAUUCAUUUCCUUAGUAACGUAGCUAACGCGUG
RNAcentral lists this ribosomal RNA (514 nucleotides) under uncultured bacterium. RNAcentral describes it as "partial 16S ribosomal RNA". It matches the Rfam family "Bacterial small subunit ribosomal RNA", at positions 355 to 861 of the family's 1533-position model. The record is from RNAcentral.